AUUGAACGCUGGCGGCAUGCCUUACACAUGCAAGUCGAACGGUAACAGGUCUUCGGAUGCCGACGAGUGGCGAAUGGGUGAGUAAUACAUCGGAACGUGCCUAGUAGUGGGGGAUAACUACUCGAAAGAGUGGCUAAUACCGCAUGAGAUCUACGGAUGAAAGCAGGGGAUCGCAAGACCUUGUGCUACUAGAGCGGCCGAUGGCAGAUUAGGUAGUUGGUGGGAUAAAAGCUUACCAAGCCGACGAUCUGUAGCUGGUCUGAGAGGACGAUCAGCAACACUGGGACUGGGACACGGCCCAGACUCCUACGGGAGGCAGCAGUGGGGAAUUUUGGACAAUGGGCGAAAGCCUGAUCCAGCAAUGCCGCGUGCAGGAUGAAGGCCUUCGGGUUGUAAACUGCUUUUGUACGGAACGAAAAGCCCCGGGUUAAUACCCUGGGGUCAUGACGGUACCGUAAGAAUAAGCACCGGCUAACUACGUGCCAGCCGCCGCGGUAA
This 498-nucleotide ribosomal RNA is filed under the name uncultured bacterium. RNAcentral's name for it is "partial 16S ribosomal RNA". It matches the Rfam family "Bacterial small subunit ribosomal RNA", at positions 30 to 523 of the family's 1533-position model. The record is from RNAcentral.